AUGCAGAAUAAAAGCUAAGCAAGAUAUAUUAAAACAAAUGUCUAAUAUCAGCACAUAUAUAGUAGCACAUAGUAUUUAUAUCAGAGUAGCACAUACAAAUUUAAACACUAUAAGCACAAACAAAAGACUGCAUGCAGCUAUAGCAAAGGUAAUACAUAAGCAAAAGAAAUAAAUGGCUAAAUAAAAAAACAAAAAUAACUGCAAAAAGAUAAAAC
RNAcentral lists this long non-coding RNA (215 nucleotides) under Mytilus galloprovincialis (Mediterranean mussel). The record is from RNAcentral. Lineage: Eukaryota; Metazoa; Mollusca; Bivalvia; Mytilida; Mytilidae.